This is a long non-coding RNA of Topomyia yanbarensis, 1339 nucleotides long. RefSeq lists it as uncharacterized. The transcript is spliced from 4 exons. Lineage: Eukaryota; Metazoa; Arthropoda; Insecta; Diptera; Culicidae. The record is from RefSeq and is a predicted model, not a curated record.
GUAAUCUCAAAUUUAGUUGUCAUUACUGCCUGAAUUUACCGAAUCCAGUAUUAAAUUGACUGAAGAUUCCUGGUAAGACUUCAAGAGUUCGAGAAAUGUUUCAUCCAGCUGAAAAGUGCCGAUGCGGCACCAUUCGAAAUCCAGAGCAAGGAAUUCAUAAAACGCACAACAAUCAUCUGGACAACUUGAAGUUUUCCCUCGAGAAAGAGUCCGAAACAAAGGAGCAGUAUGUUAAAUAUAGCGGUAUCAUUACAACCGUUGAAUGAAUAUGUUACGGUGGAUUAUAAUCGAGACCUUCGAUAGCAACUUGUGGCUUACACAACAAUUUGAUAACGUUUGUGACGGAGAGGAAUUGCAGGAACUAUCUGCUUAUGAGAAGGAAAGGACGUUCUGAUCUUUGCUAUUCCAUCUGAAAUCAUAUGGCGGAAAAGGAUCACUAAAAGAUGGUACUCGAUGGGCUACGCUAGCAUAAUAUGUUAAUUACUAUGGAGACAGCUAUCCGGAUAACUAUGAAGCAGAUGUAGAUUGAAUCCCGUCAAACGGCAUUGACUUAUAAAUGAUGCUUCUGUCAGGAUUCGUGAUCGCUCACCCUUCUUUGUUACGACACUACGAUUAGUACCUCAACCUAAACCGUAUUCUGGUGAUGAAGAAAGCUACUCAACGUACUAGUCGGAUAUCGAAUUUCCACCAGCAAGAUGCAGCAGUUUGUAAUGCCCGAGAUAUGCACACGAUUAAGAGACGAGCUAAACUUAUGCAGCAAAUAGGUGUGAAUGCAAACAAACUGCACACAUAAUUCAGUGCACAGGUGAAUAUUUAUAACUUACUGUUAUUCGUGCAUUUUAAUUUAUUUCGCGAGCAUAUAACUGCUUCGUUCUUGUCGUUAGCAAAGCUUUUACUAACAGGUCGUUAAUGUUUAAACUUGAUCGAUCAUUCUGACUCCCUGUUUGCUAUCCUCGUAUAUACCGUACGUGGUAUAUAUGUAUGUUUUCCUUCAGAGCUCUAACGUAGGUUAAUCAUAAUCCUAGAAGUAUUUUUCAAUUGAACUAUAUUCUCUUCACAAUUUCGUCUAAAUAUAAUCCAAUGUUAGUGCAGUGUGACUAUUCGGAAAUUUGUUGGGAAUCUUGAACAGGUUCCAUUGCAAAAGGUUGUUACAUUUAAGCGGUAAACCACAUUGAAUCCAUUCAGAAUUCCAAAGCUUCUCGAACGGGUUAUUUGAGUUUUUGUGUACAUUGGGGCUUUUUCAUAAUUUGAAAAUAAUAAAGAAGAAAUAGAAAUGUUCAAUUUACAUAUAGUACUGCAACUGUUCUAUUUAAAAGAUAUCACAAAACCUUUUAAAUCA